AUAUUAGUAGUUUAAAAAGAAUGUGGAUUUGUGGUGUCUAGAGUGCAAUUUGGCCUAAUAUA
RNAcentral lists this transfer RNA (62 nucleotides) under Nemertopsis tetraclitophila. RNAcentral describes it as "tRNA-His". Lineage: Eukaryota; Metazoa; Nemertea; Enopla; Monostilifera; Emplectonematidae. The record is from RNAcentral.